GACGAACGCUGGCGGCGUGCUUAACACAUGCAAGUCGAACGGAAAGGCCCUGCUUUUGUGGGGUGCUCGAGUGGCGAACGGGUGAGUAACACGUGAGUAACCUGCCCUUGACUUUGGGAUAACUUCAGGAAACUGGGGCUAAUACCGGAUAGGAGCUCCUGCUGCAUGGUGGGGGUUGGAAAGUUUCGGCGGUUGGGGAUGGACUCGCGGCUUAUCAGCUUGUUGGUGGGGUAGUGGCUUACCAAGGCUUUGACGGGUCGCCGGCAUGAGAGGGUGAACGGCCACAAUGGGACUGAGAGACGGCGCAGACGCCUACGGGAGGCAGUAGUGGGGAAUAUUGCACAAUGGGCGGAAGCCUGAUGCAGCAACGUCGCGUGCGGGAUGACGGCCUUCGGGGUGUAAACCGCUUUCGCCUGUGACGAAGCGUGAGUGACGGUAAUGGGUAAAGAAGCACCGGCUAACUACGUG
RNAcentral lists this ribosomal RNA (468 nucleotides) under uncultured bacterium. Its description in RNAcentral is "partial 16S ribosomal RNA". It matches the Rfam family "Bacterial small subunit ribosomal RNA", at positions 28 to 507 of the family's 1533-position model. The record is from RNAcentral.